RNAcentral lists this ribosomal RNA (253 nucleotides) under uncultured archaeon. Its description in RNAcentral is "partial 16S ribosomal RNA". It matches the Rfam family "Archaeal small subunit ribosomal RNA", at positions 474 to 727 of the family's 1478-position model. The record is from RNAcentral.
AACCAGCACCUCAAGUGGUCAGGAUGAUUAUUGGGCCUAAAGCAUCCGUAGCCGGCUCUGUAAGUUUUCGGUUAAAUCUGUACGCUCAACGUACCGGCUGCCGGGAAUACUGCAGGGCUAGGGAGUGGGAGAGGUAGACGGUACUCGGUAGGAAGGGGUAAAAUCCUUUGAUCUAUUGAUGACCACCUGUGGCGAAGGCGGUCUACCAGAACACGUCUGACGCUCAUGGACGAAAGCCAGGGGAGCGAAAGGG